GAGUUUGAUUCUGGCUCAGGAUGAACGCUGGCGGCGUGCUUAACACAUGCAAGUCGAACGGAACGUAACCGAGGAAAUUUUUCGAAGUGGAAUCGGUUACGUUUAGUGGCGGACGGGUGCGUAACACGUGGGCAACCUGCCCUGCUUUUCGGAAUAACGCCGGGAAACCGUCGCUAAUGCCGAAUGAUAUGAGAAGAAGGCAUCUUCUUUUCAUCAAAGAAUUUCGAAGCAGGAUGGGCCCGCGCCGGAUUAGCUGGUUGGUGAGGUAACGGCUCACCAAGGCGACGAUCCGUAGCCGACCUGAGAGGGUGAUCGGCCACACUGGAACUGAGACACGGUCCAGACUCCUACGGGAGGCAGCAGUGGGGAAUAUUGCACAAUGGGCGAAAGCCUGAUGCAGCAACGCCGCGUGAGCGAUGAAGGCUUUCGAGUCGUAAAGCUCUGUCGCAGGGGAAGAAAAAGACGUACCCUGGAGAAAGCCCC
This 483-nucleotide ribosomal RNA is filed under the name Peptostreptococcaceae bacterium canine oral taxon 005. RNAcentral's name for it is "bacterial SSU rRNA". It matches the Rfam family "Bacterial small subunit ribosomal RNA", at positions 9 to 494 of the family's 1533-position model. The record is from RNAcentral. Lineage: Bacteria; Bacillati; Bacillota; Clostridia; Peptostreptococcales; Peptostreptococcaceae.